AGAUCACUACGGUGAUUUGUAAGCAACUUACUAUACUUUGUACUAGACCAUCUAAAUUUCUAAUUUAAUGAUGAAAGAUUUUUGGGUACAGUUAAGUACUUAUCAAGUUGGUGCAUAAGUCAAGAUGGGAUUGAUCCCUCUGAAUAAGUAGGAGAUAAUGCAUCAGUGUAUUUCAAUUUAGUAAAAUCUUGGCCAGGAUAAUCCAUGUGAUAGAUUUGAAAAGAUUGAAAUACAAUGUGAUCAACUAUAUUAGGGUUGACAGUUAAAUCCUAGGUCACCUUGAGCAUUUGGAUC
Molecule: long non-coding RNA, 294 nt
Filed under: Elaeis guineensis (African oil palm)
Lineage: Eukaryota; Viridiplantae; Streptophyta; Magnoliopsida; Arecales; Arecaceae
Description: long non-coding RNA (EGUI_LNC037007)
Source: RNAcentral